RNAcentral lists this ribosomal RNA (205 nucleotides) under uncultured bacterium. RNAcentral's name for it is "partial 16S ribosomal RNA". It matches the Rfam family "Bacterial small subunit ribosomal RNA", at positions 568 to 774 of the family's 1533-position model. The record is from RNAcentral.
UGCGUAGGCGGCGCAGCAAGUCGGGUGUGAAAUCCCCCAGCUCAACUGGGGAAUUGCGCCCGAAACUGCUGUGCUAGAGGAAUAUAGAGGUGAGCGGAACUUAGGGUGGAGCGGUGAAAUGCGUUGAUAUCCUAGGGAACACCGGUGGCGAAAGCGGCUCACUGGGUAUUCUCUGACGCUGAGGCAGAAAGCUAGGGGACGAACG